Pantherophis guttatus is the source of this 1572-nucleotide non-coding RNA. Lineage: Eukaryota; Metazoa; Chordata; Lepidosauria; Squamata; Colubridae. The record is from RefSeq and is a predicted model, not a curated record.
AAAGAAGCCAUGUCAAAAAUAUUUGGUUUUGGUUUUGGUUUUGCUAUCACUUUAUAAAAAUACACAGGACCUCCUUUUAUUUGCCUUUCCAAACCCUCACAGGUUUUUCUUUUUAAAAAUAUUUUACAGGAAAAGAUGCCAGGCUGUGAAAGCAGCAAGAAACAGGAAUUUUUUAACAAGGAAAAACAGCUAAAGCACUCUGACCAUAAAUUGUCAUGAGAGGCAAGAUGGAGAACAAAACCCUUGCACAGCCAACCAGUUCUGUAUGCAUGUAGUUGGAUCAAGCUGAAAUAUAAAGAAUGAGAGAAACAUCAGAAUAUCCCAUGCAUCUUCCAUACAGAGAAGGAUGGCCCAAGAAAUACGUAGAUGUGUGUAUAAUGGGGAAGAAAACUGUAGGUCCCAGAAGAUCAUAUGUACGGUGAAUAUAUAUAUAUAUUUUACUUAUGAUCCAGGAAUAUUUAAGAUGUACCUCAAAACCAACAUUAUGCUGCACUUGUAGAUAUGAACUAUAUACUGUAUAUCUUAAACCACCAGAUGACUUGAUAAUGCAUUUUCUCAAACAACAAUCUGCUACAUUCUCACUUACUGUUUCCUAGUAUGAUUCGAUUGCUUAUUUGUACCCUAUCUAUCAUUAAAUGUUGUACCUUAUGAUUCUUGACGAAUGUGUCUUUUCUUUUUAUGUACAGAGAACAUAUGCACCAAAGGCAAAUUCCUUGUGUCUAAUCACACUUGGCCAAUAAAGAAUUCAUUCUUUUUCGUUUUCUUUCUUUCUUUCUUCUUUCUCUUUCUUUCUCUAUCAUUUUGUAUUGUAGAAAAAGCAUAGACUUUGUGUCUACAAAUAUAGCAAUUAACAUAGAGUAUAAUUAUGGUCUAUUAGGAAAUAGAAUCAAAUCUCACAAAGUAUCAGUAUGUCUUAUCAUCUUAGAGAUUAGUUUGUGUUUCUCUCCAGUACUGCUCUCUUGAAUUACUGAGCGAAGUGGUAUAUAUAUAAAAUGGCUGGAUAUGGCUCUAAAGUCCGUAAUAGCACAGGUAUGCACCAAAAGACCAGCAUGUGAAACUGCUCUGAUGCAAAUGAAAUUCUAUUCAUCCCAAUUGUCCAUUUCCAUUCAUUAGCUAUAUAUAAAUCAUGGUAGCUAGUAAUGUUCUAUCUAGAUUUUUUUCCAGAUCUGAAAUUAAACUCAAUGUCACCAAGCAAUUUCAUGUAAUGCAAUUCAAAUCAUAAAGUUAGUGUGGGAUUUUGAUCACUGAUGAAGAAAUAUUAAAACAAAUAACAUCAGGUUUCUUUUCUAUUUCUACCUAAUUCAUAAAUGGAAAAUAUUCUUCCAAAAGUAAGACAUUUGGGAUCUACUUAUUUGUCCUGGUUUUUCCAUGGUAGUAAGCAAGAUGGAAAGAAUAGUCUAGUGAAAAGGUGCAGUUCUGGCUUCUACAGUAUUGCUGUUUUCACUGUACAGCUGCAUAUAAACAGAUACCUGCUCCUGACAGUAUAUCUGUUAAGUAUAACUUUGUAUCUACAUUACUCUGUAUUAAUGUUCAGAAUUCCGUGACCAAAUGUAAAUAAACAAAACAAACAUU